Molecule: ribosomal RNA, 392 nt
Filed under: uncultured bacterium
Lineage: Bacteria
Description: bacterial SSU rRNA
Rfam family: Bacterial small subunit ribosomal RNA
Source: RNAcentral
GAUUAACGCUGGCGGCGUGCCUAACACAUGCAAGUCGAACGAGGUAGUAAUACCUAGUGGCAGACGGGUGAGUAACGCGUGGUCAACCUACCGUUGAGUGGGGGAUAACUAGCCGAAAGGUUAGCUAAUACCGCAUACGUCUCCGAGUGGCAUCACUUGGCGAUAAAAGGAGCAAUCCGCUCGAUGACGGGACCGCGUCCCAUUAGCUAGAUGGUGGGGUAACGGCCUACCAUGGCACCGAUGGGUAGCUGGUUUGAGAGAGCGACCAGCCACACUGGGACUGAGAAACGGCCCAGACUCCUACGGGAGGCAGCAGUGAGGAAUUUUCCGUCAAUGGGCGCAAGCCUGACGGAGCGACGCCGCGUGUGGGAAGAAGGCCUUCGGUCGUAACC